UUUCCGUAGGUGAACCUGCGGAAGGAUCAUUAAAGAGUAAGGGUCUUCGGGCCCGAUCUCCAACCCUUUGUUUAACUACCAUGUUGCUUUGGCGGGCCCGUCUCACGACCGCCGGAAGUUUGGCUUCGACCAAACUUCUGGCCCGUGCCCGUCAGUGGCCCCUUCAAAUUCUUGAUCAAGUAUGAUGUCUUAGUUAAAAACUUAAUAGUUAAAACUUUCAACAAUGGAUCUCUUGGUUCUG
This 241-nucleotide unclassified non-coding RNA is filed under the name plant metagenome. RNAcentral describes it as "partial contains small subunit ribosomal RNA, internal transcribed spacer 1, and 5.8S ribosomal RNA". The record is from RNAcentral.